CCCGAGAAGAGCUGGGACCGGAAGAAGGAGUGGCGGAACGGUCCAGACCGGGGACCACCAUCUCACCUGUCGGCUGAUCGGAACCUUCCGACAACCGAGGUCUUUUUGAUCGGGGUUCGGGAGGAACCUCUUCGGUGUCCUCCGAAUCCUCGACCGCCUCGGUUGACGGAGGGGGCGGCGGGAGAGUCGGCUUCGGCAGAGAAGGCGGAGCGACUUUUGUAGGCGCUUUGAUGGUCGGCUUGGAGGGCUUCUUGGACUUUUUCAGUAAAGCCGCCUUCUCCGCGCGGCUCAUCUUCAGCGCCCCUCUUUGUGUGGUCGGGGGCUCGGGCCCCGAAGUGGACCCCAGCGACAGUUCGCUGAUCGGGACCGUAUCCUCCUCAGGAGCAUCGUCGGUCACUGGGGGUCGGAUGAACCCGGGGGUGACGGUGGCAGGGAUGAAGGCGUCGACAACGCCCUCUGGCUUGAAAAUGGUCACUGCACGGGGACAAAUGGGUUAAGGCAUGGAAAGCUUCAGAAAAUAGGAGGAAAAAUAAUGAAAAACAGAAGGAUACUCACAGCCGUGUUUGUACAACCAGGCUUCGUUCAUCAGAAGCCCCAGAUUCCAUUGGGUCCAUUGCCAUUGCUUGUAGAAUGUCUUGAAGGCAUCGGCUCAGCCCUUCGGGAACUUUGAAAUCUUCGCCGCCUGGUCGGCUGGAUGGGCCCAGGGGGGAAGGAGUUGGAGGUCGGUUCCCUUGGCAAAAAACCACUGUUCAUGCCACCCCUUGUUGCUUGAAGGGGUCUUGAUCGGGACGGUGCGGUUGGGGCGUUUGUUGAGUUGCCGAAG
This 823-nucleotide long non-coding RNA is filed under the name Panax ginseng (ginseng). Its description in RNAcentral is "long non-coding RNA (PGIN_LNC011439)". The record is from RNAcentral. Lineage: Eukaryota; Viridiplantae; Streptophyta; Magnoliopsida; Apiales; Araliaceae.